This 301-nucleotide ribosomal RNA is filed under the name uncultured bacterium. RNAcentral's name for it is "partial 16S ribosomal RNA". It matches the Rfam family "Bacterial small subunit ribosomal RNA", at positions 509 to 809 of the family's 1533-position model. The record is from RNAcentral.
CAGUCGCCGCGGGAAUACGAAGGGGGCUAGCGUUGUUCGGAAUCACUGGGCGUAAAGCGCACGUAGGCGGACUUUUAAGUCAGGGGUGAAAUCCCAAGGCUCAACCUUGGAACUGCCUUUGAUACUGGAAGUCUUGAGUUCGGGAGAGGUGAGUGGAACUGCGAGUGUAGAGGUGAAAUUCGUAGAUAUUCGCAAGAACACCAGUGGCGAAGGCGGCUCACUGGCCCGAUACUGACGCUGAGGUGCGAAAGCGUGGGGAGCAAACAGGAUUAGAUACCCGCGUAGUCCCUGUCUCUUAUAA